This 253-nucleotide ribosomal RNA is filed under the name uncultured bacterium. RNAcentral's name for it is "partial 16S ribosomal RNA". It matches the Rfam family "Bacterial small subunit ribosomal RNA", at positions 524 to 776 of the family's 1533-position model. The record is from RNAcentral.
UACGAAGGGUGCAAGCGUUACUCGGAAUUACUGGGCGUAAAGCGUGCGUAGGUGGUUUGUUAAGUCUGAUGUGAAAGCCCUGGGCUCAACCUGGGAAUUGCAUUGGAUACUGGCAGUCUAGAGUGCGGUAGAGGGUAGCGGAAUUCCCGGUGUAGCAGUGAAAUGCGUAGAUAUCGGGAGGAACACCAGAGGCGAAGGCGGGUUACUGGGCUGAUACUGACGCUGAUGCGCGAAAGCUAGGGGAGCAAACGGG